RNAcentral lists this ribosomal RNA (252 nucleotides) under uncultured fungus. RNAcentral describes it as "partial 18S ribosomal RNA". It matches the Rfam family "Eukaryotic small subunit ribosomal RNA", at positions 624 to 886 of the family's 1831-position model. Lineage: Eukaryota; Fungi. The record is from RNAcentral.
AAGCUCGUAGUUGAAUUUCGGAAAUAUGUAAACGAGUCCACCUUAACUGGUGGUACUUGAGUAAUUUUUCCUAUCUUCUAGAUGCCAGUGCACUUUGUGCGCUGUAUUUUCUAGGACUUUUACUGUGAAUAAAUUAGAGUGUUCAAAGCAGGCAUUGCGCUUGAGUACAUUAGCAUGGAAUAAUAAAACAGGACUUUGGUUUUAUUUUGUUGGUUUUAACGACCAAGGUAAUGAUUAAUAGGGAUAGUUGAG